UGGCCUUUUUAUUGGCUUAUAGUAAAAUUACACAUGCAAGUAUCCUCGCCCCAGUGAGAAUGCCCUCCAUCUCAAAACAUUUGAUCAAAAGGAGCAGGAAUAAAGUUCACUAUCUCAGUAGCUCAUAACGCCUUGCUAAACCACACCCCCACGGGACACAGCAGUGAUCAAAAUUAAGCUUAUAAACGAAAGUUUGACUAAGUUAUACUAUAAAUUUUGGGUUGGUAAAUUUCGUGCCAGCCACCGCGGUCAUACGAUUAACCCCAGUCAAUAAAACACGGCGUAAAGCGUGGUUAAAACUAACAAUCAAUAAGACUGAGCUUGGACUAAGCUGUAAAAAGCCUUAGUCACAAUAAAAAUAUUCCACGUAAGUAGUCUUAGAAUUUAUGAACCCACGAUAGCUAAGACCCAAACUGGGAUUAGAUACCCCACUAUGCUUAGCCCUAAACAUAAAUACUUCACUAACAAAAUUAUUCGCCAGAGUACUACUAGCAACUGCUAAAAACUCAAAGGACUUGGCGGUGCUUUAUAUCCCUCUAGAGGAGCCUGUUCUAUAAUCGAUAAACCCCGAUAAACCUUACCACCCUUUGCCCUAUCAGCCUAUAUACCGCCAUCUUCAGCAAACCCUAAUAAGGCCUUAUAGUAAGCACAAGUAUUCCACAUAAAAACGUUAGGUCAAGGUGUAGCCUAUAGGGUGGAAAGAAAUGGGCUACAUUUUCUAAAUAUAAUAUAGAAUAACAUUUUACGGUAACUUAUAUGAAAGUAUAUAAGUCCAAGGUGGAUUUAGUAGUAAGCUAAGAAUAGAGAGCUUAGCUGAAUUGGGCAAUAAAGCACGCACA
This 839-nucleotide non-coding RNA is filed under the name Belomys pearsonii (hairy-footed flying squirrel). The record is from RNAcentral. Lineage: Eukaryota; Metazoa; Chordata; Mammalia; Rodentia; Sciuridae.